Molecule: non-coding RNA, 1598 nt
Organism: Cricetulus griseus (Chinese hamster)
Lineage: Eukaryota; Metazoa; Chordata; Mammalia; Rodentia; Cricetidae
Source: RefSeq, a predicted model, not a curated record
CAGACUGCUGCCAUGCCGGCUGGCUAGGUCACUCUGGCUCACUCAGGUCCACACUACCACCACCCAACAGCUAUGGUUUGUUCGAGGAGACUGACCACACAUCCAGGUUGAAAAUGUUCUCUUUACCAUUUGGUGAACAGUUCUGACCUUGAGUUCCUGCCCUGAAUUCACUGCAUUAUGGACUAUGAGCCAUAAGGUUUGCUUUAAAGGACUAUAGGAGGAGUGGCGGAGAUGACUCCAUCCAUUGGUAAAGUGCUUGCAUAACAAAGCUGAAGACCUGAGCUUGAUCCCCAGGACUCCUGUAAAAGCUGGAUUUGGUGAUGGGCAUGUGUAACUGUGUUGGGGACAAGGGAAGAGAUGGGAGGAACCCUGGAAGCUCACUUGUCAAUCAGCCUAGCUGAUCAAGUACUCUCCACAUUCAAUGAGAUACUAUGUCUCAGAAUUAAGGUAGAGUAAUGGCUGAAAAUACCAAACAUUGACCUCUGGCCUCCACAUUUACAUGAAUGUGUGUGCAUGCUCUCUCUCUCUUUCUCUCUCUCUCUCUCUCUCACGCACACACACACACACACACACACACACACACACACACACACACACACACACGCCCAUGGCUCUAAGGAACCUGCUUGCUAAGUUGCUGUAUAAAAGAAUCUGCCAAUAAUAAUGGGCAGUAGAAGACAAAGUUCUUCCUAUACCAAGACAUCUCCUGCAAAGACAAAUCAAAGCAUGAGGACCUGAGAAGCAGAAAGAGGCGGGUCCUGAUAAUUGCUGUGAUUUGAAAGGCGAGGUUUGACCAAGUUUCUCUGGGUAAAGUUAAGAGCUCUGCCAGCAGCUGUAGUGAGCAAUGUGUCCCAUGCAGUUAUUGUGUGGGACCAUUAUUACUGGUCCAAUUAUUACUGGUUGACCAUCAGAGAGAGAUGUUCUAGGGUUAGGGAAUGGAGAUAUUUCCCCAAAGAAGCCUGUGGUAGUUAAACCCACUAACCAUAUGGUGGGUAGGAGACAGGCAGAUAACUUUAAUUUGGAUCUUGACAUCAAUUAAUUUUUCAUCUCCAUUCACCUUACCCCACACAGGCUGUGUUUUCCCAAGGAGAUGGUGAACGAAUUUGCUCAGGUUGGCUUUCCGAGUUCAUUUUGUUUGUUUGUUUUUGUUUUGUUCUAAUCUAUAAGCAGGGAAUGCUAAAAAAGACUUCAAAGAAAAAUCUAAAUUCUACUGAAAAAGUAAAAUAGAAUUUUGUAACAUUUAAGAAUCUGAUGCAUACCCUGAGUCUGGAAACACCUUACUCUUCCUUCCCCCUCCGCCACCAGCCUGACCCCUACUGAGGGAGGAGCUCCCUGAGUCUGGAAACACCUAUUCUUCCUUCCCCCUCCUCUGCCGGCCUGACCCCUACCAAGCCACGGGCCCAAACCCUACCAAGUGAGCAGACUACCAGGAGAGGCAAGACCAUUCAGAGCUACAGACAUUGAAGUCCUGGCCCACACACAACCCCGGAUGACAAGAGGAGGUAGAGAGACCCCACCUGUACCCACUGGAAGAAGAAAUGGAAAGAAGACAGAAUAAGAACACACUCAACAACAGAAAGACCAAUAUGACACCACCA